GUGCUCACUUCGGCAGCACAUAUACUAAAAUUGAAACAAUACAGAGAUUAGCCUGGCCCCUGUGCAAGGAUGACACGGAAAUUCAUGAAGCGUUCCAUAUUUAA
Callorhinus ursinus (northern fur seal) is the source of this 104-nucleotide small nuclear RNA. The record is from RefSeq and is a predicted model, not a curated record. NCBI's taxonomy places the organism in Eukaryota, Metazoa, Chordata, Mammalia, Carnivora, Otariidae.